This is a non-coding RNA of Triticum aestivum (bread wheat), 134 nucleotides long. The record is from Rfam. NCBI's taxonomy places the organism in Eukaryota, Viridiplantae, Streptophyta, Magnoliopsida, Poales, Poaceae.
UAAAUACUCCCUCAGUUCGGAAAUACUUGUCAUCAAAAUGGAUAAAAGGGAUGUAUCUAGUCGUAUUUUAGUUCUAGAUACAUCUCUUUUUAUCCAUUUAGAUGACAAGUAUUUUUGGACGGAGGGAAUAGUAA